AUUCCUUCUGCAAAGGACUGCCUGGCAGGUGUGAAAGGCAGCGGUGGCCACAGAGGCGGUGGAGAUGGCCUUCAGCGGUUCCCAGGCUCCCUAUCUGAGCCCAUUCAAGAGACUAUCAUUUGAGGCCAGGAGUGGUGGCUCAUGCCUGUAAUCCCAGGACUUUGGGAGGCUGAGGAUUACAGGAACUGGCCUUAGGAGAUCCAAAAUAUCCAACCAAGGUUGCAAGUAUCCCACCUCAGGAAGGAAUGCUAAACAACUGAUUCAUACAGCCUUGCUGCCACUAACCAGAGCACCAGAUGGCCCAUUACUCAAGACAACCAUUGCCAGCAGAUAAGCUGACCCAUGUCCCCUCCCCCUCACGUUCUCUACCCUGCCCAGCCCGCAUUCCCUACCUUGACAUCAAUUUCCGCACAUUGCCUAAUAAAAGAAAUCCCUAUCAGCUCAUUUCAGGGAGUCAGCCAGAGAAUCCUCCCUCUCCUGUGCUUCCUCCCUUGUGCCUGGGCAUAUGCUCCAAUAAAGCCUUGCUAGGAAAACUCUUUUGGCCUGGUGAGAAUUUCUAUUGCAUCAAGAGCCUAAGAACCCAUGAUCGG
This 590-nucleotide long non-coding RNA is filed under the name Homo sapiens (human). RNAcentral's name for it is "HSALNT0388989". Lineage: Eukaryota; Metazoa; Chordata; Mammalia; Primates; Hominidae. The record is from RNAcentral.